AAAUUAGACUAGGGGUGCCGAUCAAAUCGGCUGAGAUAAAGAUGUGUUCUUUGACCCUUUACCUGAUCUGGAUAAUGCCAGCGUAGGGAAGUUAGGCCAUUUAUUU
This 106-nucleotide non-coding RNA is filed under the name Acetoanaerobium sticklandii. RNAcentral describes it as "Clostridium sticklandii TPP sequence". It matches the Rfam family "TPP riboswitch aptamer (THI element)". Rfam says of the family: Vitamin B(1) in its active form thiamin pyrophosphate (TPP) is an essential coenzyme that is synthesised by coupling of pyrimidine and thiazole moieties in bacteria. The previously detected thiamin-regulatory element, thi box was extended, resulting in a new, highly conserved RNA secondary structure, the THI element, which is widely distributed in eubacteria and also occurs in some archaea. Analysis of operon structures identified a large number of new candidate thiamin-regulated genes, mostly transporters, in various prokaryotic organisms. The record is from RNAcentral. RNAcentral also lists the same sequence under 1 other name. Lineage: Bacteria; Bacillati; Bacillota; Clostridia; Peptostreptococcales; Filifactoraceae.